CCUACGGGAGGCAGCAGUGAGGAAUAUUGGUCAAUGGACGCAAGUCUGAACCAGCCAUGCCGCGUGCAGGAAGACGGCUCUAUGAGUUGUAAACUUCUUUUGUACGAGGGUAAACGCAGAUACGCGUAUCUGUCUGAAAGUAUCGUACGAAUAAGGAUCGGCUAACUCCGUGCCAGCAGCCGCGGUAAUACGGAGGAUUCAAGCGUUAUCCGGAUUUAUUGGGUUUAAAGGGUGCGUAGGCGGGCUGAUAAGUUAGAGGUGAAAUCUCGAGGCUCAACUUCGGAAUUGCAUUUGAUACUGUUCGGCUAGAGAGUAGUUGAGGUAGGCGGAAUGUAUGGUGUAGCGGUGAAAUGCUUAGAGAUCAUACAGAACACCGAUUGCGAAGGCAGCUUACUAAGCUACUUCUGACGUUGAGGCACGAAAGCGUGGGGAGCAAACAGGAUUAGAUACCCUUGUAGUC
This 460-nucleotide ribosomal RNA is filed under the name uncultured bacterium. Its description in RNAcentral is "partial 16S ribosomal RNA". It matches the Rfam family "Bacterial small subunit ribosomal RNA", at positions 338 to 795 of the family's 1533-position model. The record is from RNAcentral.